UACUGCUACAGCUCUUUCAGAAUUUGUCUAGCAGGUUUUUUGAUCUUCACUGGAAAGCAGCCCCC
Small nuclear RNA from Callithrix jacchus (white-tufted-ear marmoset), 65 nucleotides. Its record names the gene U7. It matches the Rfam family "U7 small nuclear RNA". From Rfam's summary of the family: Animal histone pre-mRNAs are spliced by a different mechanism than nuclear pre-mRNAs and self-splicing introns. This processing involves the U7 snRNP, which contains only one RNA species: U7. NCBI's taxonomy places the organism in Eukaryota, Metazoa, Chordata, Mammalia, Primates, Cebidae. The record is from Ensembl.